GCUUACCGACAACUUUUUCUCGAGCCGCGACCGGACGUCCGUGCGAAGGUAGCGUAAUCACUUGUUCUUUAAAUGAGGACUAGUAUGAAUGGCACCACGAGGGUUAUACUGUCUCCUCUUUCUAAUCAGUGAAACUAAUCUCCCCGUGAAGAAGCGGGGAUAGACCUAUAAGACGAGAAGACCCUAUGGAGCUUUAAACUUCUCUUCAAACGCCAGACCUCCCUUCCACAAGUCAUAGACUUUUUUAUACUAACCAUCGGCGCCAUGAAGAUGACUUUUAGGUUGGGGUGACCAUGGAGCAUAAAAAAACCUCCACGCUGAACUAGGCCUCCAAGCCUUGAGCCAAGGGCCACGACCCGCCGCACUAAUAAACUAACACCAAUUGACCCAAAUUUAUUUGAUCAACGAACCAAGUUACCCUAGGGAUAACAGCGCAAUCCACUUCAAGAGUUCUUAUCGACAAGUGGGUUUACGACCUCGAUGUUGGAUCAGGGUAUCCCAGUGGUGCAGCCGCUACUAAUGGUUCGUUUGUUCAACGAUUAAAACCCUACGUGA
RNAcentral lists this ribosomal RNA (555 nucleotides) under Scinax pachycrus. RNAcentral's name for it is "partial large subunit ribosomal RNA". It matches the Rfam family "Bacterial large subunit ribosomal RNA", at positions 1894 to 2603 of the family's 2925-position model. The record is from RNAcentral. Lineage: Eukaryota; Metazoa; Chordata; Amphibia; Anura; Hylidae.